GUACCCGUAGCUCAGUUGGAUUAGAGCGCAACCCUCCGAAGGUUGAGGUCGCAUGUUCGAUUCAUGUCGGGUACGCCA
This 78-nucleotide transfer RNA is filed under the name bacterium. RNAcentral's name for it is "tRNA-Arg". It matches the Rfam family "tRNA". Rfam says of the family: Transfer RNA (tRNA) molecules are approximately 80 nucleotides in length. Their secondary structure includes four short double-helical elements and three loops (D, anti-codon, and T loops). The record is from RNAcentral. RNAcentral also lists the same sequence under 1 other name.